This 252-nucleotide ribosomal RNA is filed under the name uncultured bacterium. Its description in RNAcentral is "partial 16S ribosomal RNA". It matches the Rfam family "Bacterial small subunit ribosomal RNA", at positions 524 to 776 of the family's 1533-position model. The record is from RNAcentral.
UACGUAGGUCCCGAGCGUUGUCCGGAUUUAUUGGGCGUAAAGCGAGCGCAGGUGGUUUAUUAAGUCUGGUGUAAAAGGCAGUGGCUCAACCAUUGUAUGCAUUGGAAACUGGUAGACUUGAGUGCAGGAGAGGAGAGUGGAAUUCCAUGUGUAGCGGUGAAAUGCGUAGAUAUAUGGAGGAACACCGGUGGCAAAAACGGCUCUCUGGCCUGUAACUGACACUGAGGCUCGAAAGCGUGGGGAGCAAACAGG